AAGUACCGUGAGGGAAAGAUGGAAAGUACUUUGAAAAGAGGGUGAAAAGCACCUGAAACCGUCACGGGGGAAGCGGAUUGCGUGAGUGUGGUGUGGCGUCCGUUCAGCUACCCUUGGGUAGUGUACUCAGCGCUAGCCGUGCCGGUGUGGCUGCCUAGUUUCGGAUGUUGCGAAACCGGGUGGUGAGGGCUCCCUUUCGAGGUUGAGGACAUCGGCGAAAUGACGCGACCCGACCCGUCUUGAAACACGGACCAAGGAGUCUAGCACUGCUGCGAGUCGAAGGGCUAAAAACCCAUGGGCGGAGUGAAAGCAAAACGAAUGUAAAAAUCGGAUACAGAUUGGGGAGGUGUGGCGACGUUGUCAAUAUAUCCUACCCUGAGCAGUUGUGCUGGGACCCGAAAGAUGGUGAACUAUGCCGGAAUAGGGCAAAGCCAGAGGAAACUCUGGUGGAGGCUCGUAGCGAUGCUGACGUGCAAAUCGCUCGUCGAAUUUGGGUAUAGGGGCGAAAGACUAAUCGAACCAUCUAGUAGCUGGUUCCCUCCGAAGUUUCUCUCAGGAUAGCGGGCCGACGAUGUGGGUUGUUUUGUGUGGUAAAGCGAAUGAUUAGCGUAUUUGGGGGCGUAAUGCCUUCAGUCGAUUCUCAAACUUUAAAUACGCAAGAAAGGGGUUGGUUGCUUGGUUUGAACCCCCCUAAUGUGAAAACGUCGGCCCUGUGGGCCACUUUUGGUAAGCAGAACUGGCGAUACGGGAUGAACCGUAAGCGCGGUUAAGGCGUCAAAUUGUCCGCUUAUAGAUCCCACAAAAGGUGUUGGUUCAUCCAGACAGCAGGACGGUGGCCAUGAAGUCGAAUCCGCAAGGAGCCAUGGAAGUCGGAAUCCGCUAAGGAGUGUGUAACAACUCACCUGCCGAAUGAACUAGCCCUGAAAAUGGAUGACGCUGAAGCGGACAGCCGACACCGCGCCGUUUGGGUAAGAAGCGACCUAAAUGAGUAGGAGGGCGUGGCGGUCUUGUGAGGAAGGUCGAGACGCGAGUCUGACUGAAACGGCCGCUAGUGCAGAUCUUGGUGGUAGUAGCAAAUAUUCAAGCGAGAUCCUUGAAGGGCGAAGCGGGGAAGGGUUCCAUGCGAACAUUGAUUGGGCAUGGGUGAGUCGUUCCUAAGCCGGGUGGUAAUCGUUCUUCGAAGCGGCGAAAGGGAAGCGGGUUAAAAUUCCUGCACACGGAUGUGGAGGCGGUGACGCAAAUUGAGAUGAAGACAUCAGCGGUGGCGCUAGGCAGAGUUUUCUUUUCUGUUUGACCUGUGAGAUGCACGUUGUGGAAUCCGAUUAUCGGGAGAAACAAGUGCCGAAGGGCAGAGCGUCGGGGCGUCCCCGGCGUCUAGCACGCCACCGAUGAUCCUUGAAAAUUCAUCUGCGAUAUAAUUUCACGCCGUGGCGUACCGAUAACCGCAUCAGGUCCCCAAGGUGAACAGCCUCUGCUCAAUAUGAACAAUGCAGGUAAGGGAAGUCGGCAAAAUAGACCCGUAACUUUGGGAAAAGGGUUGGCUCUAGUGGGGUGGGGGAUUUUCAAAUGGAUUCCAGGGUUCUGGCGAUUCGGAGGACGGAUUGGGCUAGUCUGAGGCAACUCGGUAUUGGCUUGGUCUGACUUCCCUAUCGUCUGGGGCUUUGGGGUCCGCCUCCAGCAUGCUCCAGACUAGAACUGCAACGGGCAAAGGGAAUCCGACUGUUUAAUUAAAACAAAGCAUUG
Molecule: ribosomal RNA, 1743 nt
Filed under: Lithothamnion sp.
Lineage: Eukaryota; Rhodophyta; Florideophyceae; Hapalidiales; Hapalidiaceae
Description: partial 28S ribosomal RNA
Rfam family: Eukaryotic large subunit ribosomal RNA
Source: RNAcentral